GGCGGCGUGCUUAACACAUGCAAGUCGAACGAUGAUCCUCAGCUUGCUGGGGGGAUUAGUGGCGAACGGGUGAGUAACACGUGAGUAACCUGCCCUUGACUCUGGGAUAAGCCUGGGAAACUGGGUCUAAUACCGGAUAUGACUCCUCAUCGCAUGGUGGGGGGUGGAAAGCUUUUGUGGUUUUGGAUGGACUCGCGGCCUAUCAGCUUGUUGGUGGGGUAAUGGCCUACCAAGGCGAUGACGGGUAGCCGGCCUGAGAGGGUGACCGGCCACACUGGGACUGAGACACGGCCCAGACUCCUACGGGAGGCAGCAGUGGGGAAUAUUGCACAAUGGGCGCAAGCCUGAUGCAGCGACGCCGCGUGAGGGAUGACGGCCUUCGGGUUGUAAACCUCUUUCAGUAGGGAAGAAGCCGCAAGGUGACGGUACCUGCAGAAGAAGCGCCGGCUAACUACGUGCCAGCAGCCGCGGUAAUACGUAGGGCGCAAGCGUUAUCCGGAAUUAUUGGGCGUAAAGAGCUCGUAGGCGGUUUGUCGCGUCUGCUGUGAAAGACCGGGGCUCAACUCCGGUUCUGCAGUGGGUACGGGCAGACUAGAGUGAUGUAGGGGAGACUGGAAUUCCUGGUGUAGCGGUGAAAUGCGCAGAUAUCAGGAGGAACAC
This 660-nucleotide ribosomal RNA is filed under the name Paenarthrobacter sp. Its description in RNAcentral is "bacterial SSU rRNA". It matches the Rfam family "Bacterial small subunit ribosomal RNA", at positions 38 to 709 of the family's 1533-position model. Lineage: Bacteria; Bacillati; Actinomycetota; Actinomycetes; Micrococcales; Micrococcaceae. The record is from RNAcentral.